GCCGGUGUAGUUCAAUGGGCAGAACAGUUGAAUUCCAUUCAGCAGAUGGAGUGUUCGAAUCCUCCCGCCGGCUCCA
This 76-nucleotide transfer RNA is filed under the name Syntrophobacterales bacterium. RNAcentral describes it as "tRNA-Gly". It matches the Rfam family "tRNA". From Rfam's summary of the family: Transfer RNA (tRNA) molecules are approximately 80 nucleotides in length. Their secondary structure includes four short double-helical elements and three loops (D, anti-codon, and T loops). Further hydrogen bonds mediate the characteristic L-shaped molecular structure. tRNAs have two regions of fundamental functional importance: the anti-codon, which is responsible for specific mRNA codon recognition, and the 3' end, to which the tRNAs corresponding amino acid is attached (by aminoacyl-tRNA synthetases). tRNAs cope with the degeneracy of the genetic code in two manners: having more than one tRNA (with a specific anti-codon) for a particular amino acid; and 'wobble' base-pairing, i.e. permitting non-standard base-pairing at the 3rd anti-codon position. Lineage: Bacteria; Pseudomonadati; Thermodesulfobacteriota; Syntrophobacteria; Syntrophobacterales. The record is from RNAcentral.